GUAAUUUUAAAAGAUUGCACGCUCCUCCACAUAUUGCGGCGUUUGCUUGAUUUUUGCGUUUCAUUUCAGCGAUUGCAAAAUCCCGGAGGGACUGUAUAUUGUAACGUCUUUCUCCAAGUCAGUCCCUCUGGGAUUUUGUGAUUGUAGACAUGAACGCAAAAUCAGGCAAAUGCCACAAUAUUAGCAGGAGCAAUUUUUUAAAAUUACCAGCAGAUUCGGGCCGAGACGCGUCACGUGACGUGAUCAUGAUGCGCGUUCAGCGAAAUCCCUCUUCGAUUCACGCGCGUCGAACACGAGUAGAGCGAAAAAGGUCUUGUUUACCAACAAACGUCACCGUGAAAGACCGACGGAACAAAUUCGUGCGAUUGCGAUUUCGCCAAUUCAAGUAGUUUCGCAAAUUUCGAAAAAAAAGAAGAAAAAAAGCAGCAGCAAAAUCGAACAUUUUUGUCCGCGACGUUCACAAAAAAAUCCUGUAUGGACAGGGAAGCGGACGUUUAUUUAACGGGAAGUAAGUUUUCCGUCACAGGAGGGUCUUGAGGACAUGCAGCGUUACGUUUUCUCAGUCACGUGACAUACUGCUUUGUUUUUAUUUUGCUUUCUUCCUUGUUUCCUGAUUAACUCGUGGCUUGUGAAGGAACAUAAGUGAGGACAGCUUUUCCACAAUAUGAAAUGGAAGUGGAUAAAAAGUAUGAGAGACAGAGAGAGAGAGAGAGAGAGAGAGCGAGAUCAUCGAUGUGUCAAAUCGCUGUGGUAUAAGAGGAAUAAAACACUGGGCGUGCUGUUACAGGCAAAUGGUCCACUUUGAUCGUUGAUUAUUUUCCUAUAAGAGCAUGCUCCCAAAUGUGUGUUAGUUUAAUUCAGCAACGUACCCUGCUGUGUUCCACGAGGCCAGAUCUCAUGUUGAACACGCUUGGUGGUUUUCUCUGUGAGGAAAAGAUAGUGCACACACACACACACACACACAAAAAACCUCAGUCAAACCUUUUAAUGUUUUUUUUUUCUUUUCUGUAAACAGUGCUAUAGUUUGUUUCAGGCACUGAAUGUAUAGUAGUAAGCUGUUACCUUUCUGUGAUUUUAGACGCACAACGGUGGGAAUUGUGUUAAUAUUGCGUACUUCCUAAAACGGAAAAAAAAAAAGUUCGCUAAUGUUUCAGUGUACUUUGAAAUAUCAACUCAGGUGAGCACGUUAAAACAAACAGAAACGUUUUGCUUGUUUUAAAUUCAAUUCAGUGCUUUAGCAUUUAAAACCUGAACGGUUAGUGAAACUGUUCUCGGAGCAUGAGGCUUUUACCGACAGAAAGGGAACGUUGAGAUUUCUUAAUUCAGUUAAUAAUUGGCUAGAAUUGGCUGUAUCAGACCGGCUGUAGAUAAUAGAGAAGGGGAAAAAAAGCAAGUCAUGAAAAUAAGCUGCUUGAAAUGAUCGUUAUCGUGUAAAUCUGAUUGAAUUGUGACUCAAAGAUUAAGUGCUCACCCCUCCCCCUCCCCCUUCUUGCAGACACGGGUGUGUUUGGUCUUGAUUAGGAGGGUUGGGCAAUUUUACGUCAAAAAUAACUAAAUCAAUCAAUCUCACUAUCAGACUGCACUUUAAGCAGUAACGAUAUACUAUUAUCUGAUAAUAGUGUGUGUCAGCAGCUUUGGACUUGAUGAAGACUCAGAAACGCAAAGUCUUACACCAUUUCAGAUAUAUUUACUGAUGUUAAGAGGGAAGGCCUAUAUAUAAAAUUUAAAAAAAUACUAUAUCAUAUGGGGAGUCAUUUGAAGAAGCUUUGUGAAAAUAUCUCGACCUUGAGGACAAACUCUAUAAAUGAGUGUGAAAUAACCGAUAGUACUGUAAGGCCUCAACGGUUUACAAAACAGACUCUAAACUCAUUUGGUGGACCCGAUAAAGUUUUUUUUUUUUUUCUUUAGAAUCCGUGGAGGAAAUUGUGCACCGUACUUUAAUCGAAACAUUCAUCUAGUCUCUGAUAUUCCAGUGUAGAGGUUUCACAGAAACGGGGUGAACUUUUGCGUCUAUUAUUUGUAAACGAUAGAGAUGAGUGGUUAGCACGUUCGCGUCACACCUCCAGGGCUGUGGGGGUUUCUUCCGAGUACUCCGGUUUCCUCCCCCAGUUCAAAGACAUGCAUGGUAGGUUGAUUGGCAUGUUCAUAGUGUAUGAUUGGGUGUGUGUAUGUGAUUGUGCCCUGGCACCCUGUCCAUGGUGUACCCUGCCUUGUGUCCCAUGCUACCUGGGAUAGGCUCCAGGUUCCCCAUAACCCUGAAGGAUAAGUGGUAUAGAAGAUGGAUGGAUGUGUAAAUGAUUUUGCAAACUAUAUUCGCAAAAUAUAAAAUGCAUGGUCAAUCCGUUUUUGUGUUUAGAAUGUACACUGUACGGCUAAAAGUUUGUGGACACUGUGCUUCUUGAACAUCCCAUUCCAGAUUUAUUAACUUUCUGUUUGUUGUAAUAUCUUCCACUCUUCUGGCAAGGAGUUCCACUUGCUUUUGGAGUGUGGCUGUGCGGAUUUGUGUUCAUUCAGCCACACGAGCAUUAGUGAGGUCAGGCUCUGAAGAGGCCUGGAGUGUUCCAGUUCAUCCCAGAGGUGUUCAGUGGGGUUGAGGUCAGGGCUCUGUGCAGGACUUCAGGAGUUCUUCCACCUUCUUCCAACCUUAACACACCAUGUCUUCAUGGAGCUCGCUUCGUGCACAGGGGCAUUGUCAUGCUGGAACAGUGUUUGGGCCUCUCAGUUCCAGUGAAGGGAAACUGUAGUGCUCCAGCAUACUAAGACAACUUUGUGGCAGUGGUUCGAGGAAGAACCACAUAUGGGUGUGAUGGACAGAACACACUUGGAUUCAGAACAACUUCAGGAAGUAGAAAUACUUAAUUGCAUCUACAGAUUAAUUACAUAUUUGAAAAAUAAAUAAUGUGACAUGAAUGUUAGUGAGAAUGCUGUUGACAGUAAAUGAUUAAUAAACUGGUUAAGAACUGA
This is a long non-coding RNA of Ictalurus furcatus (blue catfish), 2964 nucleotides long. RefSeq lists it as uncharacterized. The record is from RefSeq and is a predicted model, not a curated record. The transcript is spliced from 2 exons. NCBI's taxonomy places the organism in Eukaryota, Metazoa, Chordata, Actinopteri, Siluriformes, Ictaluridae.